Molecule: ribosomal RNA, 252 nt
Filed under: uncultured prokaryote
Description: partial 16S rRNA
Rfam family: Archaeal small subunit ribosomal RNA
Source: RNAcentral
ACGGAGGGUGCAAGCGUUAAUCGGAAUUACUGGGCGUAAAGCGUUCGUAGCUGGCUUGUUAAGUCUCUGGGGAAAUCUUCCGGCUCAACCGGAAGGCGUCUCAGGGAUACUGGCAGGCUAGGGACCGGAAGAGGUGAGAGGUACUCCAGGGGUAGGAGUGAAAUCCUGUAAUCCUUGGGGGACCACCUGUGGCGAAGGCGUCUCACCAGGACGGCUCCGACAGUGAGGAACGAAAGCUGGGGGAGCAAACCG